This is an RNA transcript of Ziziphus jujuba (common jujube), 3856 nucleotides long. It is a transcript of the gene named protein FAR1-RELATED SEQUENCE 5, with no coding region annotated. The record is from RefSeq and is a predicted model, not a curated record. Lineage: Eukaryota; Viridiplantae; Streptophyta; Magnoliopsida; Rosales; Rhamnaceae. The transcript has 4 exons.
AAACUAAUCCACGGUGUCUGAUCGCUUAGAGAUGUGAUGGAUAAACCACAAAAUUAAAACCCACGAGUUGGGCUAGAAUACAAUACGAAGAGCUUCACACACCGUUCCCAAACUCUUCACCAUCUUUGGCUUUCAUCAGCUUUCUUAUGAAUAUGAUGAAUAUUUGGAUGUAUCUUUCGUCUCCUUCAUAUCAAUCUCUUUGAUUCCAGAGCCCUCCGGAAAAAAAAAAAAAAAAAAUCUUGUAACUCCCAUACAAGUCCAAUCAAAUCCCUCCAAAAUCAAACACAAAUUCUAGGUUUUUUUUUUUUUUUUUUUUUUUCUCCUCUGGAAACCCUAGAAAGCAGAAAAUCUCACUCCCCAUUGAUACACUGUCCAUUACGCGCAAUUCUGUGGCCAAUAGUUGAGCAGGAGUGACAAAGAUUGUAAAUUUAUUCUUUGCUUUUUGCUGAGGAUCGACCAGUGUUCUCCUUUUCGAGGAAUAUGCUUUUGAGUUCUAUGCGUUUGGGUUUGGAUUGUAGAGGAAUUUAUGUAAACUUGGAUAUGCGUUCACGUAAACACACUCACCGGCAGACGCAUGAAUUGCCCAAUUGAGACUUGGGCCCCCAUUUGGAGUAGAACUGAAUUGUUCACAGUUUGAAAUGGAUAAUGAGGUGAUUGAAUUUGAUAUUGGGUUGGGUGGAGGGGGAGGAGGAAGUGGCCGAGAAGGAGAUGAUGAUAUUGUGGACAUUGAACACACUGUUGAUGAUGAGGAAAUGGUUGAUAGUCCUGCUCUUACUAGUGGUGGCAGUGGAGGUGGUGGUGGUGAGAUUUACCUUCCUGAGGGGGACCUAUUGGAUCUUGAACCUUAUGAAGGCAUGGAAUUUGAGUCUGAGGAGGCUGCCAAGGCCUUCUAUAAUUCCUAUGCUCGCCGUGUUGGGUUCAGUACCCGUGUCAGUUCCUCUCGUCGUUCUAGACGUGAUGGUGCUAUUAUUCAGCGGCAGUUUGUUUGUGCUAAAGAGGGCUUCCGGAAUUUGAAUGAGAAGCGCACCAAAGAUAGAGAGAUCAAGCGCCCUCGAACUAUCACCAGAGUCGGAUGCAAAGCGUCAUUAUCUGUAAAGAUGCAAGAUUCUGGGAAAUGGAUUGUUUCUGGGUUUGUCAGAGAGCACAAUCAUGAGUUGGUUCCUCCUGAUCAAGUGCAUUGUCUUCGUUCUCAUAGGCAAAUUUCUGGUCCUGCAAAGACCUUGAUUGAUACCUUGCAGGCAGCUGGAAUGGGUCCGCGAAGGAUUAUGUCAGCCCUAAUAAAAGAGUAUGGUGGAAUAAGCAAGGUUGGAUUUACUGAGGUGGACUGUAGAAAUUACAUGAGGAAUAAUCGCCAGAGGAGCUUAGAAGGAGACAUCCAACUACUGUUAGAUUAUUUGAGGCAGAUGCAUGCGGAUAACCCCAAUUUCUUCUAUGCUGUGCAAGGUGAUGAGGAUCAGUCGACAGGAAAUGUUUUUUGGGCUGAUCCAAAGGCAAGAAUGAACUAUAAUUACUUUGGUGACACUGUUACUUUUGAUACUACCUACAGAUCAAACAGGUAUCGCUUGCCAUUUGCACCUUUCACUGGGGUAAACCAUCACGGGCAGCCAGUGUUGUUUGGUUGUGCUUUUUUAAUAAAUGAAUCUGAAGCAUCAUUUGUUUGGCUUUUUAAGACAUGGCUCAUGGCAAUGUCAGGUCGGCCUCCUGUGUCAAUAACCACUGAUCAUGAUGCUGUGAUCCGGUCAGCAAUAAUGCAAGUCUUCCCAGAGACCCGCCAUCGUUUUUGUAAAUGGCACAUCUUUAAAAAAUGUCAAGAGAAAUUGUCCCAUGUGUUUCUUAAACAUCCAAGUUUUGAAGCGGACUUUCAUAAAUGUGUUAACUUGACCGAGUCAAUAGAGGAAUUUGAGUCUUGCUGGUUGUCCCUUGUUGACAGAUAUGAUCUCAGGGAUCAUGAGUGGCUUCAAACAAUAUAUUCUGCUCGAAGGCAGUGGGUCCCAGUUUAUCUGCGGGACACUUUUUUUGCUGAAAUGUCAAUAACCCAGCGUAGUGAUAGCAUGAAUUCUUACUUUGAUGGAUAUGUGAAUGCUUCAACGAAUCUGAGUCAGUUCUUCAAGCUUUAUGAGAAAGCUCUGGAGAGUCGCAAUGAGAAGGAAGUGAAAGCAGAUUAUGAUACCAUGAACACUUCGCCAGUUCUGAAGACUCCGUCUCCAAUGGAGAAGCAAGCAUCGGAGCUUUAUACUAGAAAAUUAUUCAUGAGGUUUCAAGAGGAGCUAGUUGGAACCCUAACUUUCAUGGCAUCCAAGGCUGAGGAUGAUGGGGAGAUCAUCACUUAUCAAGUAUCAAAGUAUGGGGAGGAUCAUAAAGUUUACUAUGUUAAGUUUAAUGUUUUAGAGAUGAAAGCAACUUGUAGUUGCCAGAUGUUCGAGUUCUCGGGUCUUCUUUGCAGACAUGUAUUGGCAGUCUUUAGAGUGACCAAUGUGCUAACUCUUCCAUCACAUUACAUACUGAAAAGAUGGACGAGGAAUGCAAAGAGCAGUGUUAUAUUAGAAGAACAUCGUAGUGAUGUAUAUACCAAUUACCUGGAGUCUCAUACUGUUCGAUAUAAUACCCUACGUCAUGAAGCCUUUAAAUAUGUAGAUGAAGGAGCAAAAUCUGCGGAAAUGUAUGAUGUAGCAUUGGGUGCUCUGCAAGAGGCUGUGAACAGAGUAGCUUGUGCAACAAAGAAUGAGGGGAAAACUGCCAUGAUGAAUGGGCGUAUCAGGGGAAGCUCUUCCAACAAUGCAUGUCAGGUGAAUAACACUUGUGUGGAUCGUGAAGGGAGCUCUGGACAACAUAUGUCUGAGGAUGAUAUGGACAAGAAAAUUCGCGAACUUACAAAUGAACUGGAGUGUGCAAAUCGGAAAUGUGAGGUUUAUCGGGCUAACCUUCUUUCAGUUUUAAAAGAUAUUGAGGAUCAUAAGCUACAGUUGUCAAUUAAAGUGCAGAACAUUAAGAUUAGCAUGAAAGAUGGCCUUUAAAGGUGCAAUAUGCCAUACAUGUACUUCUCUUCAUUUUUAGUCUACUUUCAAGUCAAUGUACGGUUUUAGUGCUCUUUAUGAGGCUGUACCUUCACUUGUGGUGGUACAGAGAUCGGAGAAUGCCUUGCAUUGUGUAUUUAGUGCUUCUGGAUGCAGAUGUAUAAAUUGUAGUUCUAUAAUCCAAACUCUAUGCAGAUGGAUGGCCUUGUCUCUAAUGUAUUUAAAAGAUGUUUUCUUUCUUUAACCAUCUCUUUAGAACAAUGGAAAAGCGAACCAUUACUUCUACAGUAAGAUGCAAAGGUCCAUACUAUCAAUCAAAAUGUUUGUGGUAUAUUUCGGCCAUUGGUGGUUUGAGAUCUCAAUUGUAAAUCUAUUGCUGGUGGAUUUAGACAUCAAGUGUAAAUUAUUUUCUGGUGGAUCCGGAUGCCUCUUACUCAUAAGUUCUUUCAUGGAGGAACAAAUGGCUGAAAGUUUACAAGUGGAAGGCAGAUGAGAGCAACAACUACUGCAUUAAUGGGGUAUGAAAGACCCAGGCAAUUCGGCUUGUUUUAUUGAUUGUUUAUUUAUACAUACAAGUACAGAUGGAAAUGCUUAGCUUCUCAGUUUUGUAGAAUUGUAGUUAAAGGUUUGUGCUUGAUACCCUGUGCCUUUAGAAUAACAGAAUCUUCUACUAAGUAAAUUCUAUAGGUCAUCAUUCAUCCUAGACAGGAGAAUUGGCUAUUUUAAUGCUAAUGCUGAUUCUGUCUAAUCUUGUAUGAGCAGGAAUAUAAGUUAAGGUUUUCUUUCCACUUUUUAUGUAUCUUGUUUUUAUGAAGUAAAAUGCUAGUCAAACUUUUGUUGGA